Molecule: ribosomal RNA, 266 nt
Filed under: uncultured bacterium
Lineage: Bacteria
Description: partial 16S ribosomal RNA
Rfam family: Bacterial small subunit ribosomal RNA
Source: RNAcentral
GUCCACGCCGUAAACGAUGGGUGCUAGAUGUUGCUGGUAUUGACCCCGGCUGCGUCGAAGCUAACGCGUUAAGCACCCCGCCUGGGGAGUACGGCCGCAAGGCUAAAACUCAAAGGAAUUGACGGGGCCCGCACAAGCGGUGGAGCAUGUGGUUCAAUUCGACGCAACGCGAAGAACCUUACCUGGGUUGGAACCCCUCAGAAGUCCGCAGAGAUGUGGAUGUGCUCGCAAGAGAACUGAGUGUCCAGGUGCUGCAUGGCUGUCGU